CGGUCACGGAAUAGGACGCCGCACAGUAGUACACGCCGGCCAUCGAUUCCUGCAGCGAGUUGAAGAUCAGCGCCAGCGCCUGCCCGGAGGCAAUCGACUCGGUGUAGAUGGGGGGUGACGAUUGUCCGGCCCUGGAAUUAAGACCUACGAAGGAUAUCCCUCUAGAGGAGGAAAUCAGCUUGAAAAAAACUUUUUCAAAUUUCCCUGUAAAAAAGGAAAAAUCCAAACUAGCUGUACGACGGCAUCAUCCACCAGCAAAUUCUGAAGGACUUUGCGCCACCGCUGCUGGUGCAAAAAAUGCGAUAAAAACUCCAGGAAGAUUUUGAGCAAGUUUCGAGCUGCACACAAGUUCAUGCCAUUUGCUGCCACCGAAGAGAGAAUAUUGCAUCCCAAAUUGUCGUACGAAGCCGGUGUGGGGCCCAGGCCCAUGGGUUCCGGUUUCGAGGAGCUGAUGCCAAAGGACAUUCAAGCCAGCUGGGAAACGGUGGCAAAUCUGAUGAUGCCCUGUGAAACUUAAGUAAUAAAGAUGGAGUUUGGAACGCGUCUAGCCCGGGGACGUAAAAGAAGAGGAUUACAAGAGAAAUUUUACAGAUUAUUGCGAUGGAAAUGAUAGAAUUUCAUUUAAACGAGUGUCUCAUUCUAUACUAAUACUGAUUAUACUGAAUUUGAACAAUAUUAAUGCACGUUUGAACAGUUUGUAAUACAAAAAAAAUCCUGAAUGAGA
Culex pipiens pallens (northern house mosquito) is the source of this 724-nucleotide long non-coding RNA. RefSeq lists it as uncharacterized. The record is from RefSeq and is a predicted model, not a curated record. The transcript has 3 exons. NCBI's taxonomy places the organism in Eukaryota, Metazoa, Arthropoda, Insecta, Diptera, Culicidae.